Molecule: ribosomal RNA, 207 nt
Filed under: uncultured bacterium
Lineage: Bacteria
Description: partial 16S ribosomal RNA
Rfam family: Bacterial small subunit ribosomal RNA
Source: RNAcentral
CGCGUAGGCGGCCAGGUAAGUCAGAUGUGAAAGCCCGGGGCUCAACCCCGGAAGUGCAUCUGAAACUGCUUGGCUUGAGUAUGGGAGAGGGUAGUGGAAUUCCUGGUGUAGAGGUGAAAUUCGUAGAUAUCAGGAGGAACACCGGUGGCGAAGGCGACUACCUGGACCAAUACUGACGCUGAGGCGCGAAGGCGUGGGGAGCAAACA